CCGGGGAAAAGCCACUAAGCUUCAGCUACACACGACCGUACCGCAAACCGACACUGGUGCGUGAGAUGAGUAUUCUAAGGCGCUUGAGAGAACUCAGGAGAAGGAACUCGGCAAAUUGACACCGUAACUUCGGAAGAAGGUGUGCCCUAGUAGUGUGAAGUGAACAACGGAGCAUGAAUGGGUUGCAAAAAAUCGGUGGCUGCGACUGUUUAUUAAAAACACAGCACUCUGCAAACACGAAAGUGGACGUAUAGGGUGUGACGCCUGCCCGGUGCUGGAAGAUUAAAUGAUGGGGUGCAAGCUCUUGAUUGAAGUCCCAGUAAACGGCGGCCGUAACUAUAACGGUCCUAAGGUAGCGAAAUUCCUUGUCGGGUAAGUUCCGACCUGCACGAAUGGCGUAACGAUGGCCACACUGUCUCCUCCUGAGACUCAGCGAAGUUGAAAUGUUUGUGAUGAUGCAAUCUCCCCGCGGAAAGACGGAAAGACCCCAUGAACCUUUACUGUAUCUUUGUAGUGGACUUUGAACAGAUCUGUGUAGGAUAGGUGGGAGGCUUUGAAGCAGGGUCGCUAGAUCUUGUGGAGCCAACGUUGAAAUACCACCCUGGUGUGUUUGAGGUUCUAACCCAGGUCCAUUAUCUGGAUCGGGGACAGUGCAUGGUAGGCAGUUUGACUGGGGCGGUCUCCUCCCAAAGCGUAACGGAGGAGUUCGAAGGUACGCUAGUUACGGUCGGACAUCGUGACGAUAGUGCAAUGGCAUAAGCGUGCUUAACUGCGAGACUGACAAGUCGAGCAGAUGCGAAAGCAGGACAUAGUGAUCCGGUGGUUCUGUAUGGAAGGGCCAUCGCUCAACGGAUAAAAGGUACUCUGGGGAUAACAGGCUGAUACCGCCCAAGAGUUCAUAUCGACGGCGGUGUUUGGCACCUCGAUGUCGGCUCAUCUCAUCCUGGGGCUGUAGCCGGUCCCAAGGGUAUGGCUGUUCGCCAUUUAAAGAGGUACGUGAGCUGGGUUUAAAACGUCGUGAGACAGUUUGGUCCCUAUCUUCCGUGGGCGCUGCAGAUUUGAGGAAGCCUGCUCCUAGUACGAGAGGACCGGAGUGGACACACCUCUGGUGUAUCGGUUGUCACGCCAGUGGCAUUGCCGAGUAGCUAAGUGUGGAAGAGAUAACCGCUGAAAGCAUCUAAGCGGGAAACUCGUUUCAAGAUGAGAUCUGCCGGGGCCUUGAGCCCCCUGAAGAGUCGUUCAAGACCAGGACGUUGAUAGGUCAGGUGUGGAAGCGCAGUAAUGCGUUAAGCUAACUGAUACUAAUUGCUCGUGCGGCUUGACCCA
This 1326-nucleotide ribosomal RNA is filed under the name metagenome. Its description in RNAcentral is "bacterial LSU rRNA". It matches the Rfam family "Bacterial large subunit ribosomal RNA", at positions 1607 to 2925 of the family's 2925-position model. The record is from RNAcentral.